Molecule: ribosomal RNA, 253 nt
Filed under: uncultured bacterium
Lineage: Bacteria
Description: partial 16S ribosomal RNA
Rfam family: Bacterial small subunit ribosomal RNA
Source: RNAcentral
UACGUAGGGUGCAAGCGUUAAUCGGAAUUACUGGGCGUAAAGCGUGCGCAGGCGGUUUUGUAAGUCUGAUGUGAAAUCCCCGGGCUCAACCUGGGAAUUGCAAUGGAGACUGCAAGGCUAGAAUCUGGCAGAGGGGGGUAGAAUUCCACGUGUAGCAGUGAAAUGCGUAGAGAUGUGGAGGAACACCGAUGGCGAAGGCAGCCCCCUGGGUCAAGAUUGACGCUCAUGCACGAAAGCGUGGGGAGCAAACAGG